UGGGGAAUAUUGCGCAAUGGGCGGAAGCCUGACGCAGCGACGCCGCGUGGGGGAUGACGGCCUUCGGGUUGUAAACCUCUUUCAGCAGGGACGAAGUUGACGUGUACCUGUAGAAGAAGCGCCGGCUAACUACGUGCCAGCAGCCGCGGUAAUACGUAGGGCGCAAGCGUUGUCCGGAAUUAUUGGGCGUAAAGAGCUCGUAGGUGGCUUGUCGCGUCUGCCGUGAAAGCCCGUGGCUUAACUACGGGUCUGCGGUGGAUACGGGCAGGCUAGAGGCUGGUAGGGGCAAGCGGAAUUCCUGGUGUAGCGGUGAAAUGCGCAGAUAUCAGGAGGAACACCGGUGGCGAAGGCGGCUUGCUGGGCCAGUUCUGACGCUGAGGAGCGAAAGCGUGGGGAGCGAACAG
RNAcentral lists this ribosomal RNA (404 nucleotides) under uncultured bacterium. RNAcentral describes it as "bacterial SSU rRNA". It matches the Rfam family "Bacterial small subunit ribosomal RNA", at positions 355 to 775 of the family's 1533-position model. The record is from RNAcentral.